Non-coding RNA from Lentinus tigrinus ALCF2SS1-7, 88 nucleotides. The record is from the annotation of a GenBank genome assembly. NCBI's taxonomy places the organism in Eukaryota, Fungi, Basidiomycota, Agaricomycetes, Polyporales, Polyporaceae.
UGCCCCGUGGCUGAGUUGGUUACAGCGUCCGACUGUUAUUUAGAAUGAGGCAAUCGGAAGGUCGUGAGUUCGAGCCUCACCGGGGCAG